CCUACGGGAGGCAGCAGUGAGGAAUAUUGGUCAAUGGACGAGAGUCUGAACCAGCCAAGUAGCGUGAAGGAUGACUGCCCUAUGGGUUGUAAACUUCUUUUAUAUGGGAAUAAAACGUUCCACGUGUGGGAUUUUGUAUGUACCAUAUGAAUAAGGAUCGGCUAACUCCGUGCCAGCAGCCGCGGUAAUACGGAGGAUCCGAGGGUUAUCCGGGUUUAUUGGGUUUAAAGGGAGCGUAGGUGGAUUGGUAAGUCAGGUGUGAAAGUUUGCGGGUCAACCGUAAAAUUGCAGUUGAAACUGGCAGUCUUGAGUACAGUAGAGGUGGGCGGAAGUCGUGGUGUAGCGGUGAAAUGCUUAGAUAUCACGAAGAACUCCGAUUGCGAAGGCAGUUCACUGGACUGCAACUGACACUGAGGCUCGAAAGUGUGGGUAUCAAACAGGAUUAGAUACCCGGGUAGUC
RNAcentral lists this ribosomal RNA (460 nucleotides) under uncultured bacterium. RNAcentral's name for it is "partial 16S ribosomal RNA". It matches the Rfam family "Bacterial small subunit ribosomal RNA", at positions 338 to 795 of the family's 1533-position model. The record is from RNAcentral.